CCUACGGGCGGCAGCAGUGGGGAAUAUUGCGCAAUGGGCGAAAGCCUGACGCAGCGACGCCGCGUGAGGGAUGAAGGUCUUCGGAUCGUAAACCUCUGUCAGCAGGGAAGAACGGUCACUGUGCUAAUCAGCAGUGAAUUGACGGUACCUGCAAAGGAAGCACCGUCUAACUCCGUGCCAGCAGCCGCGGUAAUACGGAGGGUGCGAGCGUUAAUCGGAAUUACUGGGCGUAAAGCGCUCGUAGGCGGUAUGUCAAGUCAAGGGUGAAAUCCCCGCGCUCAACGUGGGAACUGCCUGUGAAACUGGCAAACUGGAGUGUGUGAGAGGAUAGUGGAAUGCCAGGUGUAGGAGUGAAAUCCGUAGAUAUCUGGAGGAACAUCAGUGGCGAAGGCGACUAUCUGGAACAUAACUGACGCUGAGGAGCGAAAGCGUGGGUAGCAAACAGGAUUAGAUACCCCUGUAGUC
This 465-nucleotide ribosomal RNA is filed under the name uncultured bacterium. Its description in RNAcentral is "partial 16S ribosomal RNA". It matches the Rfam family "Bacterial small subunit ribosomal RNA", at positions 338 to 795 of the family's 1533-position model. The record is from RNAcentral.